Molecule: long non-coding RNA, 42220 nt
Filed under: Coffea arabica (coffee)
Lineage: Eukaryota; Viridiplantae; Streptophyta; Magnoliopsida; Gentianales; Rubiaceae
Description: long non-coding RNA (CARA_LNC003890)
Source: RNAcentral
UCAAGAGUCAGGUUUCAGCAGCUGAGUAGUUGUGGCUAAAUUAGCAACUUUUUCUUGGAGAGAAGGUUGUACGAUUUGUUACUGAUGAUGGUUACGAAGAUUAGCAAUAUAAUGUGCUUCCUUUUGGUAUUUGUGACCGACACUUUUUUUUUUUUGCGACCAACUGUUAUUGAGAUUUAAUUGUUAUUACUUCCUCAAUUUGGUCUUUAGCUCCAUGUAAUCCAUUGAGUUCACAAUUUUAUGCUUUUGGCUAUGGCCUGUUAGCAAGUCUACCCCUGUUGUUAUCCUUGACAUUAGCUUCUAUUAAAUGUAGAGAAGACUUUUGUUCCUAAAAUUUUCAAUAGCAGUAAUAUUGGUAAAAAUCAAUAUGGCAUAUGUAUAGGAUUCACUUUUAAACUCAGCAUACUAGAUGGUUGGUUAUCAGAGGCCUUGGCAUGAUGCUGGCUUUGCUUUUGAAUCUUAUUUUUGUGCACCUGGAGAGUGAAAUUGGCAAACUUAAUUGCUGCUUGUGUUAUGGGUGAGCUUUAGGUUGGUGGUCCCUGGACUGGAGAAUUUUCCAGCUAAUCUUCAUCACUUGGGGUCUUUGUUUCUUUUUUAAGUUUUCAUAUUGAGAAAAGGAAGGGUUCAUAAAUCUUGGACUUAGUCUUGUCCGAAUUCCACAACAUCAUUGGCUUCAUAAAUAAAUAUCAAGGUGGGUCAGUUAUGCAUCUGUAAUUAUCUGUCUAUCAUUGGUCCUGAUGCAGGGUUAGCAGGAUGGUGACCAAGGGGCUGCUUGUGCAUCUAGGUUGUGAUGUUGCAACUGUCAGCUCUGGAGACGAGUGCUUGAAAGUAGUUAAUAAUGAGCACAAGGUGGUAUUCAUGGAUGUGAGCAUACCCGGUAUAGACAUUUAUGCAGUUGCAGUCAGGAUACAUGAAAAAUUUGCAAGACGUCGUGAUAGGCCACUCAUUGUGGCCUUGACAGGAAACACAGACAGGGUGACAAAGGAGAGCUGCAUGAGAGUUGGUAUGGAUGGAGUGAUACUAAAGCCUGUUUCUGUAGAUAAAAUGAGAAGUGUCCUGUCUGAACUUCUAGACCACGGAGUUCUGCUGGAGGCUCAAUAACCAGAACAGAACUGCAUUCAGUAUGAAGCAGCAAUAAGGCAGCUGGUAUACCCUACAGGAGUUGCUUGUACAUACAAGACAGACAUUGCCGCCUUGAGAUUGGAGCAGUGGUGCUAAAAGGGUUGCACACAUAAUGGGAUAUGCUUGGUUGUACAAGUGAUUGCAGGGUCAUUGAUAUAGCGAACAUUGGACAAACUCACAGAAAUUUUUUCCCCCUCCCCAAGUACUGUGGAUGCUUUGUUCAUGUACUACUUAAAUUUGUCACAUGGUGUAGUAUAAUUCUGCUUUGACAAAUCAAAGUUGUAUAAAUAAUUUUGGACACUCUACAGAUAAUAACCUCCAUAUUAGCAGCUAUAACUUUUGGUGCAGCAAACAAGCUCAAUCGUGCAAGACUAGUUCACUGCAAUAAGGAGCUUGAUUGGUGCGGUGCAUCUUCAAGCUCUAUUGAAGGAGAUGAUUUUUGCAACAAAAUGUACCAUUUCUAGUGAAGACGCUUCAAAUGCUGAUGUUCUGGAGCAGAGGAGGUGAUGCAUUGGUAGUUGCCUGGGAUGCUUAAAAUAUGUUUCAUGCCCGAGAGCUAUUAGCAGAAAGCUCAGCAAUUCUGUCCUUUUUACGUAGCAGUUCACUGGCUAUAGUGCGUAGGAUGGUACGAGCCUGAAGAGGACGGUCUGACUAGCUGAAAUGUCUAACAAGUUGAAGAAAAGUUGGAACAUGAGGUUCAUGAGGGAAACCACCAGCUCUUGGGCUGGUGGUCACCACCAAGCCCUUAAGGCUUUGGUGGGGUGGGAGGCAAGGUUUUGGUGGGGUGGACCUUGCCUCUCACCAAAAUGCUACUCUUGUGGCUCUGCUUCAAAUGAGGUUCACGAGGGACAUUGAUUGACAGUGAAUUUUGAGAAAAAGACAAUUCUCUGCGUGCAAGCAAUAAACGUAUUCUUGCUCUUAUUCAUUGUUUUUCUUAUCAUACAUCUGACCAUACCGUCGGUUAAUUAUAAGUACCAUACAGUGGGUGAUUUUAGCAGGAAUAAGAAAAAGCCAGAAUAUAUAUAUCUGAAUUAUUGUCUUCAUUUGGAAAAGCAUAACAGCCAUACUCUUUUUUUCUUUUUCUUUUUUUUUUGGGUUUAAGGAUAACCGCCAUACUUUCUUCCAUCAUCGAAAAGCGUAGAAGGAUAAAAGGAGACGCCCCUGGAAGAAAAGGGGCCCAAUAUUCCAUAAGAGUUUUGAUGCUUCUGAAUUCUGACUUAUGACCUUUAUAUAUACGCGACCGCUUGUAUUUCUUAUACUAUUCUUUUGAAGAGAAAAAUGCAGUUUUAGUGCUCAAUAUUUAGUUUUUGUGCGAUUCUAGUUCUUAAAGUUUUGGAAAAAGCAAAUAUAGUCCUUGAUGCUUGGCACGCGUGCAGUUUUAGUCAUCAAAAUUUUAGCGCAUACAAAUGUGGUCCUUAAUGUUAACAAUUUGAAGCAAAUUUAGGACAAUUGAUGAAUUUUCUCAAAAAUUGAUGGAAUCAAUCACAUGCACUCACAUAUUUCUUGAAUUAAAUUUUUUUAAAAAGAUUUUAAAAAAUAGCGAGUAACAUUGAAUAAUAAGAAUAACUAACAUGAUUGCACGUUAUUAAUUUACACGAAAAAGAUUAAGUGUUACAAUUGUUUGCUUGGGGUUAAUGGAGAUAGAGAAGGAAAAUAAAUUCUGAGUUGAUGAAUUGGGUGCUUCGGCUAGUUUUAGUUUUUUUGCUUUAAUAAUUUCUUCUUUUCACUAGUUAAUUAGUUAGCAAGUGAGUUAUUACUUCUUCAAUUCAUUGCCUAAAAUUAGUUACUAUUUUACUUCUUUAUUUAUGUGACUAAAUUCUAUUAGCAAUUAAAAAAUUCUUCAAAUAUCCUUAAUCUACUCUACAAAUUUGCUCUUGUCAAAAUAUUAGGGACUAAAACUACAAAUUUACUAAAAAAUGAGGAUUAGAUGUGCUUUUGCCAAAACUUCGAGUACUAAAACCGAACUGUAAUUUUCCAUUUUUUCAAUGAGUUUUCAGUUAUUAGAUACGUUACCCCCAUGCAAAGGUCUACAACUCCAAGGUAGGAAGUCUUAACGUGGAACUUAUUAUUGAUCAGAGCAUCCAAGUAUAUUCCUUGAAGAGGGCGGCUUCACAAUCUUGAUUGGCUUUUUUUUUUCUUUUUUUUUUGGCCCACGUUUUGGAGAGACAGAGGGGGGCGUUGAAGAUAGCUGUUGAUGAAAUUUUAUACACAAUUCGAUUUUGCAAUAGCACACUAAUCUUGAUGGCUUAAAGCCCCUCCCCCAGAUGGAGGCCCCAAGAAACCACAGAAGAAAAAGUAUUCCAUCAACAACGACAUGGUCGGGGUUGGGGUUGGGUUUGGGUUGGGAUAUAAGUCCCUGGGAUUGCCUCAAGAGUUGCCGGCUUUUGAGGUUAAUUCUGGGAUUAGGUUUAUAAAACAACAAAAGUCUGAUUCAGGCUGUUGAAAAAAGACAAAUUGCCUCAGGGUUGAAAGGGUAUUGGGUGGUAGUAUCCCACUUAGCAGCAGGUCCCCCCUAUAGGUACAUUUGUCCCACAUCGGGGUUGGGGUUGGGUUUGGGUUGGGAUAUAAGUCCCUGGGAUUGCCUCAAGAGUUGCCGGCUUUUGAGGUUAAUUCUGGGAUUAGGUUUAUAAAACAACAAAAGUCUGAUUCAGGCUGUUGAAAAAAACAACGACAUGGGCUGAGAAUAAUAAAGAAAGGAAGAAAAGUGAAGAAAAAGAACAUAAAAUAGCUCUAAGUAAUAGAGGCAGACAAUUGAUUCUCAUUGUCAACAUUUUCUUUGUCCAUAGUUCUUUCGGAAGCCACAAGCCUGUACCAUAUUCCACAACUGUCAAUCAAAACAUAAAAAUUUGGUUCCAGUCUAUUGUAUGCAUAAGAUAGACCAUAUUAAAGGAUAAAUGACAACCCCCCCCCCCCUCUCUCUCUCUCUCUCAAGGUUAAAUCAGUUUUGCAAUUUACCCCCUAACGUUAUUUAUUUAUUUUUUUUACUUUAGCCCCAAAACUGUUAGUCCACUCUAACCUUGCGUAAUGGAAACGGAAAUAUCAAACAGACAUUUAUACCUCUAGAGGUUAACUCCAAUAAAUCCUCUUAAGGUUUAGCGCGUUUUACACUUUACCCCUCCAAUAUCAUUUUUCUCUUAAUCUGUAUAUUUGUUCAUAAAACCACCUAAGAUAGAUAAUGUUUAAAAAUAUCAGUAUCCCUAACAUAAUAAUGAAAAUUAUUGUACAUUUACAAAUAUAGGUCUUGUUAAAUUUUAUCUCGAUAAUUAUAGGUUUUUAGAUAAAAAAAAAAAAUAUCCCGCUCAUUUCACAUGAUAAGGGAAAAAAUAAAAAUUAUUAGUGAAAAAGUAAACUAUAAGAAUAUUAUUAAAGGUCUAUAGAUUGAGUUUGUGUGGAUUGAAGAUUAUUUGGAAAAUUUUUUAAAAUAAUAUUAUAAUACAUUUUGUAAUUUGAUGUUUGUGAAAUGAAAAAGUGAUUAAAAAAAAUAAUUGAGAAACAUGCUUAUGAUGCAACAAUUUUUUUUUUAAAAAAUUAUGUUAGGAGAUAAAGUGCAAAAUAAGAUAGGAGAAUUACUGCAUUUAACUAUAAAGGGUAUAAAUAUCCUUUUAAAAUUACCAUUAUGUAUGUUGUCGAGACAAAGCAAAAAAAAAAAAACUUUAGAGAAUAAAGUGUAAAAACAGAUAUACCUUAGGGGAGUUUUUGUAAUUAACCCUAUAUUAAAUUAUGUCAACUUUUAAAUACAUAGUUUUCCUUUUGAUAACUACUAAUUUUGGUGGUUACAACUUACAUCACAUAGUUACUACAAACAUUUGCUAGAACCAAGCGUAAUUAUCAAAGGGUGGCCAGCGGAGCUCAUUAUUAAUUAACCAGUACUAUUAGGCCAGGCCGAUGUCCUGGGAUUUUGUGACCCAAACAAAUUCCACCAAUAGCAGACUUCUAAGCUUUGCUCGAUUACCACCUUAAUCUCUUGUUUGGUGUACGUUGGAAUGGACUGCAAAGAAAAUAUCUUUUUAAUUUGUCCAUUCCAUUCCAAUAUUUGGUAUGAUUCAUUCAAGUGAAAAAGCCUUUUUCUCGAAGAAUGUUGGUUCAAACGCUCAUUCCAACCUUUUCUUGGAAUCCUAUUCUUUAAAAAAUAUAUAUAUAGAAAAAUCUUUUUCCACCUUCAUCCUAAAAGAUCUAAAUAGUAGAUUGGCAAAUUUUUCAUAACAAUGAAUUUCCCUUGUAUUACUUUUAUAUUAGGAAACAAAUGUUUUAAGAUACUUUGACCAAUUGUUUUAAGAUACUUUAACAAUUCUUUGACUUUUGACCAAUUGUGUAAGGAAUUUUUUUUUUUUUUUGAAUCUCAUAUCAAAAUUGAGAAUAGAUUAAAAAUAAAUUAUAAUUAUUUAACUUCAUGUAAUUUAUAUUUUACGUCGCUGAUUAUAUUGCUAGUAAAUGCAAUUUUAACUUAAAAGUCUGUAUAUUAGAAUGAAUUAUAAGUAUUACGAUUGAAGACUGCCUCAAUAAUGCCAAUAUAUUGUAUUAAAGUCGUAUGAAACCCUUGAGCACAUAUUCAUUUUAAGCAAGAAAUCUAUUAAAGGAAUACAGCCUGCAUGGCGGCAUGUCAAUAAUGUAAAACAUAUUCUGACCUUACUAAUGAAAUUGAAAGCUAGAUCGAGUUAAAUACUCACUCAUUGGCUAGUCAAGCUAGAUCGAGCUCAUAUAUUUUAAAUAUUUUAUAUUUUUAGUGAUAAAAAUACAUGUAUGUCUCUUAUAUUUUUAUUAGUUACUAAGAUGAAAUGUCUAUUUUAUCUUUUUUUUAAAAUAAAAAAUAUAUUUUUUAAAAUUUUUACUUGAGCUCAAAUAAGUUCGAACUCGAGCUUGAUUAAGCUCAAACUAGUGUUCGAACUCGAGUUCAAGAUCGAAUUUUAGAAUGAAAGUUUGUCGAGCUCAAGAUUGAGUUCGAACCUGACAAAAUUGAGUUUAAUUCGACUUGAUAAGACCAAAACUUGCCUUGAUUUAACUCAUUUGCAACCCUAGUUGUAACAUUGAUUUGAAGAGUGAAGGUUCAUAAACUUUCGUUUUAGGAUGAUAAAAUGGAUAUAAAGUUACGUGUUUAGUCAGCAGAUCUAACUUUGUAGGAAUGAUUUGGGAUAAUUGUUUAAAACAUCUUUUACAUUUCAUCAAAUGAAUGUUUUGUCUUUUACUUUUAAAAUGGUAACUUUAUAUACAUCAAAAAAUCAAGUAGGUAAAAUUUUGUCCCAACCUACGUUUUUUACCACUUUUUACCUUGAAUACAUCACGUGAAACACACAUGAUCAUUUUUUUAGGGGGCAAAAACGUUACAUCCUAUUUGUAAUUAAAUAAAUGACUCGAUCCAUAUUCAUUUUUGUCCAUAAAAAAAGUAGAAUCUGAUCCGAACCAUAUUCAUUUUUCCUAAAAAAGUGAAAUCGGACUCAAUUUAUAUUCAUUUUUGCCAACUUAAAUUUGUAAGGAAUAUAAAGUUAAUAUUUUAAAAAAUAAAGUAUGUAAAAUUUUUUUUGGUGAAAUGUGAGAAAUGUUUUGAACGAUUUUCCCUGUGUAGUCACAUCUUUAAGAUUUUCAAAUUCUUUUGUAUUAUAAUCUUUUCAAUUACAAAAUGAUGUGUCGUAAAUGUUAUGUUUUAUAUAUUUACCUUCCCAUUUUACCUAUUAAGAGAAAACAUAGUAGGAUAGACCAUGACAUCGUAAUGAAUAUAGUAAUCACAUCUAUAAGAGUAUCAAAUUUUAGCUGUAUUUAUUCAAUUACAAAGUAAUGUGAUGCACAAAUCCCAUAUUUGCACUUGGUUUCCCAUUUUAGAAUGAUAAAAUGGAUAUAGAGUGACGUGUUGAUUUGGCAUAGUUACCUUUAUACUAAUAAUUAAUUUUUUUUGAUAAAACAAGAACUUUAAUAAUGAAAUUGCUGAAUAUAUCCUGCACGAUAGUCACUUAUAUAAAAAUCUCAAAAUUUUAGCUGCAUUGCAGUCUUUUCAAUGAGACAGUGAUAUGGCAUAAAUAAUGUUAUGUAUCAUGGAAUUACCUUCUCACUUUACCCGUCAAGAGAAACCAUAUGUUAGCAUCAGUUUACCUGUCAAAAGAAAACAUAAUAGUCACUUAUGUAAAAGUUUUCAAAGAUUUAACUGCAUUGCAUUUUUUCCAAUUACAGAGUGAUGUGACGCAAAUGUAAAUGCCGUAUGUUUGAUGAAACUCACCUUCCUCUAUUUCAACCAUCACUACAAAACGUAGUAGUAGCAGAAUAAAGAGAUAACAUCGGCAAAAACCAAAACAAAAAAAACAAAAAGAAAAGAAAUAAGUGAGGAGAUAAAUUACGCAAAAAGAAAAAUGAAAAGAUAAUAAAAUUACAAUCCCAACAAACCCCAGAAAGAGGCAGUUACGAUUUAUGAAAACCCAUAUCCAAUGUUACUCAGAAAGAAACAAAAGCCAGGCAGAAGGCUGGUGUCAUCUUACGUUAGCACUCUUUUCUCUCUUUCUUCCCCCAUUUUUAACGUCCCUCAUCACUCACUUUAAUACGCUCUUAAAUUCAACCCCCAUCCCAUCUCUCUCUGCACAAUAUAUUGACACACACUCGCACAGUGAUAUUGACAUAGUAGUAGACUGCAAAUUGGGUACUUGUAGCCCCUCAGCCUCUCUCCCGUCCUUCUUUUCUUUCUCUCUCACCAAAAGUACACAGGGUAGAGAAAAGCCAAAGCCACCUGUUAAUACAUUUACAAACCAUCACCUAAAACCACUUCCACCUGUGAUCACAUUUGUUAUAAAAACCCUUUAAUUAAAAUUCCCUUUUUUUGCUAUUCCUGUAAUUCCUUUUGUUGUUUUCCUUCCAUUUCUGACCAUUUUCCCCAAAUGGGUUUCUAUUUAUUGGCUUUGUAGGCAUCUGCACCGAAAAUCUCACCAAGAUUUUUUUUUUUUAUUAAGAUCACCCAAAUCUGAAAAACCCUUUCUUGAUUGAUCUCUUAUAUAUAAGAGAGAGAGAUAAAGAUUGGGUUUUUUAGUGAGGAGGAGGAUAAAGAUAGGAACUUUAUUUCUGAUUGGAAUUCUUGGGUUCUGUUGAGAAAAUUAGAGUAAUUUUCUGGUUUUUCCUUUUUUGGGUGUUUUGGGGUUAUUUAUUUUAGGAGGUUCUGCUUCCAUGGCUGCUGGGACAGAAGUUUCUGGUGAGACAGCGGUGGUGGAGGUCCCUCCUGUUGCUGUUCAGCCAGAUGAAACAACUGCUGCUUCAAAAAAUAAUGUUGAUUCUAAUUCCAGAAUGAAUGAUAUAUCUGCUCCUUUAACUAAUGGUGCCAAGGAGUCUGAUUCGAGUUCCAAUAAUUCGAAUUCAAAAUCAGAACUCCAAAUGCAAGAUAUAGUUGAUAUGUUGAAGAAACUGAAGUUGAAUCCACUGGCCAAGGAAUUUUUUCCUUCUUCAUAUUACCGUGAUCAAAUGGGAGUGACUAAUUUUGUGCCAGCUAAUAUGAAUUGGGCCAAUGAUGGUUUCCCCAAUAAUCGAAGGGUAUAAAUUCAAUUUUCUGUUUGUUGUUUAAUUUUUCUUUUGGCUUCUUGAUUUUAUCAAUUUUAUUGCUUGUCUUUUAUGGUUUUUUUGGGAUGCUUGUGAAUCUAAUUUUUGCCCUGAUAUUUUUAUCCGCAAAUUUCAGUAUCAUUCUAGUUGUGAAACUGACACUGAAGUUGUGAUUUCUUAUGGGCAAGUUCUACACUUUCUGUAGCCCUUCCCUGAGUUAUAUUGGUUGUUGAAGCAUCAUGCAUUGGGGUUUUAACCUAUCUAUAAGUAGACAGCAUAUCAUCAGAAUGUUACUCCAUGCGUGAUUUGAACUAGAGUACUAAAAUGGCAUGCAGGAGAAGUUGGAAGAUUAACAUUCAAUCAGUUCGGAAUUAGAUUAUGUAAAUGCUUUGUAAGGAAUAAUUUUUUGGGAUUUCUCUAUGGAAAUGGGGUUUUGGAGUGAAGUUAAUGUUUGGCUUGUAGUCUGCAUUCAUUUGGUAACAUUACUUGAUGCAGAGUGAAUGCUUAACUUUUACCUGUCGACUUUUUCAACACAAGAUAUGAAUUUCUAAACUUGGUCUAUGAUAAAUGGUAUCUUAGUUAGUAUUUAUGUUUGUGUGCUAUCCAUUUUUAGUACUUUAUAGGUGGAUAUAUAUUGGUUUUGGUGAUCUUUCCCCUGUUUUGUUGCUAAACUAGGCUUGACACAGGGUUGUUGGUUUCUGAAGUUUGACAAUUAACAUUUGAAUUUGUUCAAGUUAGACUGUAGGUUGACCACCAAGAUUAAGUUUAUAUUAACUCACAUAUGCUAGAUAUUCUGCUUUGCAAGUUGUUCUUGUUGGAUGGUCUUCGAAGUUCUUUCAUUUGCAUCCACCUAUGUGUCAUGUUGUAACAGUUUGAUGUGGCUUUAGUUAUCUAAUGCACAUAGGUUUUUGCAGUCAGUAUGUCUGUUGCCUUAGAUUGGUUAUCGUCUUGGUGAUAAUUGCCAGCUUUAUGAGCAGUGUUUGUUUAAACAUUAACUAUGCUUAAAACCUCUGUUCUUUUUCUUUUGAUAUUUUCUGCUGAUUGACUUCCUUUAUCUCGUCAAAGAAUACUGCAGAAGCAAGAAUCUGUUUGUGUUCGGUUGUGAUGGUCAUCGAGAUCAUUGUCCGUUUUGAUAUUCUUGUAUAUUAUUAGCGUCGAUGUGUUUCUGCUUUCGCUUGUCAUUUUUCUAUUUUAAAUGUGUUCACUGCUUAAAAAUGCUAAAGUUGUUAUGGAUUUGAUCUUAUUAUCUUGAUUCACUCUCCUUGUACCUAGAUAAGAGUUCAAUAUUCUCACCAUACAAUCUUUGUGUUUGCAGAGAAGAAAUAACUACAGUCAGGGCCGGAGGCGAUUUAAUGGUAGGGCUUUUAGAGCCCAAAGAGAAGAUAGCAUCAGGCGAACUGUCUAUGUUUCAGACAUUGAUCACAAUGUAGGAAAUGAUAGAUGGCUAUUUGGUUUAACUGUCAUUUCUUUGCCUUUUAUAUUGUCCAAAAUAUGUGCUGAUGUGGUUCUUAACUUCUUUAAAUUAGAUAACUGAAGAGCAACUUGCUGCCUUGUUUAGUGGUUAUGGCCAAGUAAGUUACUGGCUUAUUUCAAUUGUUGGCAUUAAUGGUGCAAUCUUGGACGUUAACUAAAAUUUAACAAAAAAUGAGACUGUAUAAGUUAAAAUUGACUUGGGUGUUAUAUGCUUAUGUUUUUUCUUUGUUUGGGUAUCCUUUUUGUCUUGCAGGUUGUUGAUUGUCGAGUUUGUGGUGAUCCUCACUCCCGCCUUCGCUUUGCUUUCGUUGAGUUUUCUGAUGAAUGUAAGAAUGUUGUUUCAUCAAUAUUUGUUUGUCAGUAUAGCUGCCCACGCAUUUGUUUAACUUUAUACCUCUGACAUGUUAUAUGGAUUUAACUUCAACAGACUCUGCUCGAGCAGCUCUUAACCUUUGUGGGACGAUGUUAGGAUUUUCUCCAGUUAAGGUGUUACCUUCAAAAACUGCUAUCCUUCCAGUGAAUCCUACAUUUCUCCCAAGGGUAUGAACAAAAUCUUUAGCAUUUGCUGUUGCUAGUACGAGUACCUUUUUGCAAUAUGGUUUACUCAAAAUGUAUUCAAAUUGUGACUUUGACUUCCUUUGACUUUAUGGAUUCUUUCUGUAUAGUCGGAGGAUGAACGCGAAAUGUGUGCUAGGACAGUUUACUGUACAAAUAUUGAUAAAAAGGUAUAUCUUCAAUUCUUUGUACUGGGAUAUUAUAAAUCUUGAUGUGGUAUUACUAAUUCAUGUAUUUUCAUAAGUGUUCUUUAUCAUGCAUGGCUUAUUGCAGAUUGCACUGUCUAGCUUGCGAAGUUGUUGCAUUUGUAUGACCUGAUUGUAUUAUUUGUCUUUGAUGAAGGAUUAAUGAAGUUUGUCCUGUACAGGUGUCUCAAGCUGAUGUCAAGAACUUCUUUGAAACUAGAUGCGGUGAGGUCAGUAAGAUGCAAAGCACUUCCUCCUGUAUUAUGGUUGUUUUGAAGUUAUCAACGAAGGGAUCCUCUUCAUUGACCUUAGAAGUUAUUUUGUUACAGGUUUCUCGCCUGAGGCUUUUGGGAGACCAUGUGCACUCAACUCGUAUUGCGUUUGUUGAGUUUUCUAUGGUAUGUUUUGACGUACCAUUUUUUUACCUAAAAAUUAUGAAAGAAGGGAAUUGUGAAUGGAACAUUGGAUUUGUUUCCUCACUUUUCUGUUUCUGCUAAUGUAAAUAGAUCACUAUCCAUCCUUUAUUCUUUUGCAUCUUUUCUACAUGCUUCAAUUUGUAUGACUGGGUUUUGGCGAAGUGAGAUGAUGAAAUGUGGAAAAUCAUUGGUGCGAACCUGGCUUGUACAUGCUUGAAUCUGUCACUCAGACAACUGUAGAUUUUGCUUUAUGAUAAUACCUCAUUCUUUCCAUGUCUUUCACCUAACGAAGUCACUGACCAUUAGAACAAUUUAUUUUACUUGUUUUCUGUUGUGCAAGCUCUAUUCUGAUGUAUUAUUUUUCAUACCACUUUUAUUAGCUCCUUUUUUUUUUCACAAAUGUGCAUAGCAAUCUUGUUUUUUCAGACUUUGGUAUGUUUCAAGGAAUGUUUUAACAUCUAAGUUGACAGAUGGCCAAGUAUUAUGUUCAUUGAGCUGGUGUGAGUUGGAAUUUCAUACUUCACGAGCUCAUGUUGCGCAAAUAUAGUGCAUUACAUGUACAGUCAGAUUGUUCUCCUUAUUUCCCCGUCCCCUUGAAAGGCUGAGGAUGUGGAGGGGAACAUUUAUCACUUAGCCACCUUAUUAAGGAUUUUUCCCUUCCUCUUCAGAUUUAUGUUUGGGUUGAAGAAUACAAAUUCUUGAGUUGAUAUCUUUCUAGGUUCUUUAUGGAACUGCCUUCUGAUCAAAUUUCUCAUUUUGAGUGACUUGCACUACACUCUUAACUAUGAACAACAACAAUAGAUGCUAAUUCUUUUGGAACAAUAAGACUCUCUUCAAGUGAUUAAUUCUUGUUUAUACCGUUAAUUUCUGCAUUUUGUAUUUCUUUAACUGUGCUUAAGUAUAUGUGACUGUACGAGUGCUUAAGUAUAUGUGACUGGACAGUGUAAGAAGGUGUGCAAAGUGAAAUUUUGGGUCCUCAACUUGAAGCUUGUUUACUAAACCAUGUUUGAUAGUUUUCAGGGUCUUUUUAUGGUUUAUGAUGCAAUUAUUCCACCAGUUAUAUUCUACAGAAGAAACUUUGCAAUUAUCCCACCAGUUAUAUUCUAUUUAUUUGUUUAUUUGUUUGUUUAUGUCGAUGAUGAGAGAGGUGGGCAUGGGACAUAUGGAUACAUUAGAGAGGCUGAGAAUUGAACCAUUGAUCUUCCAAGCAGGCAAGCUUGGAAGGCACUUGGCUAUUUGGGAAAUUCACUGCAGUUUUAUGUUAUUUUUUGUUGAGAUGAUAGAUAUUACUUAGGCUUCCUGCAGGUUCUUUCUUGUUUUGUGUUUUGAAAAUACUUAUUCAUAUAUGUUAGUUUCACUAUGCCUUAAUACCAGACUGAAGUUAGUUAUAUAGUUUUAAGAGAACAAAUUAACACUAGUUACCAUAGGGUUGUCUUUUUUUUUUUUAAGGCAAUGUUAAAAUUUGGAAACGUUUUUUGGUAGGAUAAAUUGGAAUUCAAAGCAUGAAACUAAUCAGUUUUUGUAUGGUUACUUGAGUUGAAGGUACUCCAAAACUUUCAAAAUAAUCUGUCCUAUUAUCAACCUUUUUGGGAAUGCCAAUAUAUCAAUGAUAUGACAAAUGCAAUGUCUGAGAUGCAUUUGAGACAUCAUUCAUUUGUUCUUGUUUUCAAGUCAGAAGUUCGUGGAAGUUAGCAAGUCAGGUGUAGAGAAAAGCAGCUGCUAACAAAUGUUAAAGAGGAAGAUGACUAACUUGACAGAUGCUUAUGAAUAGGAUUUUUAUUGCACCGACAAAUGAAGUUGAUUCUGUUGGCCUGUCUUUGUCAGUUUUUUCCAAUUAUGAUUUUGUCUACAUAUUGAUGCAGAUUCUUAUGACAUUUUUCAUCACCUUCCGAAAUCAUUUUCAUGUACCAUCAUGAUGGUUACUAGAUGAUGAAGUUAGAACAUCUAUACUAGAGGUGAAAUAUAUAGCACAUUGGAAAAGUAAUACGUUCUUUAAUUUGCAGGCUGAGAGUGCAAUUGUGGCGCUGGACUGUUGCGGUGAAAUACUGGGGUCCCAGCGCAUUAGGUAAAGUUAUCAUUGGAGUGACAAAAUUGCCAAAGAUUCUCAGUUCUUGAAAUUUGGCAUGUUAAUAUGAUUCUGACAUUGUAGGGUGAGUCCUUCAAAGACACCUGUUAGGCCCCGCAUUCCCCGCCCUGUUCUGCACUAGCUGAUCUUUGGAACCAAAGAUUGGGAGGGACUUUAGCGCUAAUUUUGUUGGAAGAGAAGUUUGUCCUGAUGGAGGAGGGGUGAAACACGCCUUCCUCAUUGUAUUUCCAUCUUUCUGGCAAUAGUACCUUUUUUCCUGCUAUCAAGCAUCUCUCUUAACUCUCUGUUUAAUCAGUCUUAAGGAUUGUCGCAAUCCUGAGCACUUUUACCAGAAUGGAUGAUGGAUUAUUUUGUUUCCGCGAUUAUACAGAAACAGCGUAGUCCACAUUUUUGAUGAUUGUGAGUAGAAUUCUUGCAUGUUUAUUUCUUGCCAUUGUGUCCUUAGAGGAUACCUGUUAUUUGUGUGAUGCCACAUAGUUGCUUGCUACUGCAUAUGAUCUUUUUCCAUAAUGGAAAAGAAAUGAUUAAAGUUCUGUAGAUAUGAAACCACUGGUUGAACUUAAAAUGUUAAAUCUCUGUCGAAUUCACCCAUUCGCUAUCUAGGAAGACGGUUCUAUUAAUGUCCUGCAUAAACCAACUGUUGAAUGCUGAUAUCCGCAGCUAGUCAGUUCCUGUAGUAAAAUUCCUGUGCUUGAGACCAGACAUCAGGACAUGAAAACCCUCUUAGCUUAUUUUGUCCAAAAAAGAUCUGUAACUCUGUAGCAGUAGAUGGUGGUAAGGUAUGUUAGUGCUCUUUUUGCUCCUCAUCUUCCAUCCCAAUGGGUCAUCUAACUGGUGAGGCUCGGGGUAUUUGACUCGUGAUGGACUUUACUCAGUUCCAAUUUAGAUGAGUUAUUGUACUCUUUCCCCUGUUGGAGCAUAUUUAGAUCAGCAAUUCUAGAGGCUUGUCGAAAAGGCUGUAAAGCGAGUAUUCUGUCUUGUCAGUCAUCGCCUAUGGUUUGAAUCAGCUAUAGCUUCAGAGACAAAUAUAAGCUGCUGGUCAAUCACCGGGGCUCAGCACCCUUUGACUCUACAACAAGGGGUGGGUGGCACCUGCUCGUGGCGUGGGUGAGGAAGAAGCCAGGAAGAAAGGAAGUCUUGACUCUGGGGAGGGAGAUUGCAUUUCCUAUUGUUUGCUCCCUAGUUCUUUUGAUCUUGCGUGCUAGAUUGUGCUGCAGCAGCUAAUGUAGGAAUUAUCUGUACAGAGUUUCCUCGAGAAGAAAAGUAGUAACAAGGAGAGCUGUAAACUAUUGAUUCGAUCAUUUGCCUAGUUCUGAAAACAACCGGUUCUAGAAAGUAAAUGCUCCUCGUCUUUGGUGAUGAAGCUAAAGAUUUCGUGGAACUUUGCAUUGAAAAUAAGAAAACAUCAACGCAGGAAUAAGUUCCAACUUUUCAAAACCUUGAAAACGAUUGUGGAUGGAACGUAAUAAAAUCUGUUCACACGAGAUUUUCAUCUUCAAAUUCAAUACUGAAAGUGUUUUUGGAUAGCAAAUUAUUGUAAAUAAUAUUUGACCUGCAUUAGAAGUAUAUUUUUCAUCUAUUUUUUUUUUAAUUUCACGUACAUCACAUCAUAAAAAAUGUUACAUAAAAAGUGUUACAGUCAAAUAUAAUUUUCAUAUUUUUCCGGUCUUUUUAUUUGAUUCUUUUGUUGGACUUGAGGGCAACAAAGAACCUGAAAAAUGAUGGAGACGUCUUGAUUUGGCCACAUUAGCUGGCUACUUCGAUGUAUGCAUGAAGCGGUCUUAGUUGACAGCCCGCGUGGUCAAUUUGUCCGUAGAGCACAAAAGCGUGGCUCUAAAAAAGAAUUAGGGGACCAUGCAUAUUAAUCUUCUUGGACCCCAAACAAUAAAGAACUCAUUUUGAUGCCAUAAGAAACAACGCUUUCUUCUGACCAGUGUAUGAACACAGGUCCACUUGUGCAACUUUUUCUCCAUUUUAUAUCUCUUCAAGUCACUCGUAACUUGAUCAAUAAUACACACCGUCGAUAUAUAUUUGUAUUUAAGUUAAUACUUUAUCACUUAUUUUUUAAAACAAGUUUUAUUUAAAAAAUUGGAUGCCAUUUAAUUAAUUCAGAUGUUCUAUUUUUUUAUUAUCAAACGUGUUAAACUUUGAAUCCAUUAAAUUUAAGUACUGAAUUGGAUUAUCAAAUAGGAGCUAAGUUGGACUUUAGAAAAAUUGAACCUCUUCUCUCAAUUACGAAUAACAUUAUUUAUUGACAUGAAAUUCACCCGCCACAAAAUGCAGCGACAUCAUCAUCUCUUUCAAUUGAUUAGUAGAUGAGAUUCCCUUAUUUUCAUUUUCUCUUCAAAAAAUAUGGAUAACUUCAAUUCUUUCCUAAUAGUUGAGCCUAUUCAAACUAAGAAACUGAAUUUCGGACCACCUCCAAAAAAAAAAAAAAAAAUUCAGAAAGGUUUGUCAUUAUAAAUAUGUAUCUAUACACAUUAUUGAUAUCCUUGUGUUUGUGGUAUAAUGGUAUUGAUGCGUAUUGAGACGCUAUUGUUUGACAACCAUUAUACUACUAUUUUCAGCUUCAUGAUUUCUUCUUCUUGUUGUUAAACAUGCAAAGUCCACAAAAUUUCAGAAGGUUCAUGCAUGCACUUCUUUUUGUUAAUUGUAUUAAGGGUAAGGCGCAUGCACUUCUAAUAUCGUUUUUUCUGAGUUCAUACUACCUAUUAGUAGUUAAUUAGACACUAUAUAUGGAUCAAACCCGUAAUAAGAGAAGCUGUUGUUUGUUGAAUUAAUUCGAGGAAAGUGCAGUUGAUUAACAUAACCAAACGUGGUAUUAAGUUGCUUGCAAGUUGUCAAGUGACUCAACUUGUGGCUCUGGUUUUGGUUCAAAGCGUAUAGUAAUCCCACCAGCAAAGGGGAGGGCAGAAUGACAAAUGACUCUCUGAUUUUCAAAUGAUUAAUUACUGUCAUUUAGGACCUCGUCAUGAAAUUUAAUUAUGUUAAAAUUUUUUAUUUUCCUGGAUUUCUUUCUUGAGGGUGGAGGGAUUUAUAAAAGUUUUUUUUUUUUUUUUUAAAGAUCUUCAAGAAACCGUGGCAGGCAACUCUAUUGACUUGUGCAACGAGUGUGGCAAUGAAUUUGGUAGGAAAAUAAACGAGAAACUGUAUUACUGUUUCUUCCACGCAUACAUUAGGACGACCUUUUCUGAUGUUUCAGCCCGAAUAUGUUGUAGUCAGAGUGGAUCUCAUUUGUGUGACUGCCUCAAAACUUCUACAUUAAUCCACAUGAAAUUUCUUUUUGUUUUCCAAUAUUUAACUGCUUGUUUUGAAGCUAGCAUCAAUUUCUAGAACUGGGAAUUGGUAGAUUUACGCCAAAACUAGCUUAUGUCAUCCUUAAUGAAGACUCUGUUUUUCUCUCAUGAAAUACGUUUGUGACACAAGCUGAUCUAUUCUAACCCUAAUGCUGUACAAUUUUCAUUGCUAAUAGCGCAAGUCAUCAUUACAUCAAAGGUUUAAGAUUUGAGAUGGAGAGGUGUGGACACAAUCGCUUUGAUUGCAAUUUCAAGAGGCUAAAUUAAAUCAUCUCUUACUUUAGGAAUGAAAUAGAUUGAAAAUUUUUACUAUUUGAUCUACAAUCUACAUUUGUGCUAUAACUUGAGUGGUCCAUAUUAGGACUGCAAACGAAUCGAAUCCCGCAUCAAACUUGAGCUCGAGCUUGAUAUUUUGAGCUUAUCGAUCUCAAACUUGAGUUCGAGCGUUGUCAAAUUAUGUUAAAACUCGACUCGAUUAGAUCGAAACUCGAUUCGACUCGACUCGUUGACACCCCUAGUUCAUAUGGAUAAGGAUCAUCCCUCUUUCAAGAAACCUACUAGUAUCUCUUUUUUUUUUCCAUUAUCCAAAAUGAAACGUGCAUCUACCCCCAAAAAAAAAAUGUCUUGUUGCACAAGAUGUAGACUUCAGAACUUUCUAUUCUCAGGCAUGGGAAAGGGGUUUAAUUCUUGUUUUUUUCCUUUUAAGUUAGGGCUGCAAGAAGUGAUUUUGUAAUCCAGUUUUAGCUGUCCACGUCUUAUUUGUGGAAUUUUGGUUCUGGGAAAUUAGCAGGAAGCGUAGGAGAGUAAUUGAACCACGUGCGCAGUCUCAAGUAUGUUUGGAUAAGAAGUUACAUUUUAGUCCGCUGCUGGAAGGUAGAAACUAGAAACAAAAUCUUUUGAUUGCCGUUUAAGAAACGUAAACAAAUAGGUCGUCUAGAUAAAAUAUUCCCACACACAUGCAGUUAAUUAUUGCCCUCAUGCCAUGAUUUAUUUUAAAACUCAUAUUCUAUGCUGACCAAAGUAGUCAAAUUCAGCAGCUUUAGAGCAUAUAGGAGGAGUAAUUUUUGACUGAUUAACGGGAUUUGAUUUAGCUCUAAUCUGGCCACUAAUUUUGUGGGAGUUGUCAAUCCUAAUAUCCAACAUUAUGGCCACAUCUUGAGUUGGAUCAUUUAAUUGACAAAAUUGACUCUGGAGUUUUGAAGAGUUCAAGUUACAGAAUUCCUUUUUUUUUUUUUUGGCUCAUUUUGGAAUUACCUGCAUCAAGAAUUUCAUUGUGUGUAUUUUUCACUGUGCAUAACUUUGAUUGCACACGGUGUAACUUUCUUUGCACGACGUAAUUUUAGAACAAAUUUUUGUGGAUCUCACACACGGCGUGAAUUUCACCCUUCAUACUACAUUGAACUAUAAAUGAGGGAUUACUUACAUAUGCACAUCAUUCUUUCUAUGGUAGAUAUUUUUGGGCAUUUUACGUAGACUUGUAGUCAUUGUUAAGAACAAAAUUUGAAUGGUUCCUUCGUCUAUACUCAUGAAUUGUUCAAGUUUCCAAACAUCUAGAAAUUUGGUGUGAAUGAUGAACAAUGAAUCCGCUAGACAUGAAAUCAUUGAUCACGUUAUAAGAAAGUGUGGCUGAAUACUAGUGGCCGCUAAUGUUUACUUCAUAUCUUUUUCAAAGUUUAGUAGAGUUAUAAACAUGAAGAACUAACCAUACAAGCAAUCGCAAAUUAUCAUUCCCGAACAAGUUGAGACGCUAAAUUCCACAUCUGUGAACAAAAAAAAAAAAUUGAUGACUCCAUUUCUUGAAGGAAGACAUAUUAGAUUAUCGUACAGAAACAGAAUACUAUUUCUUAAUAGUAUUUUGUUGACCACCCUAUAGUCUAUUCUUUCGUGUCUAUAAUCUACUAGCAUCUGUUUUUGCGAUAACUUUUUAUAUAUUGAUGGUAUAGCGAUUUUUUUAAUACAAACAAUUUAUGUCACGUGUAUAUGAUUUGAAUUUUAAAUUUAAAUUCUUGUUACAUAGUAUGAUCUAAUCCUGCUAGUAUAAAAAAAAUUGUAUGGAGAUAGUGUACAUAAAACUUUUUUUUUUUUGGGCUGAUGGGAGAUAAAACAUUGACCGGAAAACCUUUGUGCCCUGAGAGAGAGGACUAUCCGCAACUUGCAUCGUCUUCAAUUAAAAUUGGGCUUCUAACUAUUCCUAGUUUUAAAAUCCAAGAGCCGUACUAUUUCAUGACUAUGGAAACAAUAUAGUAACGGUAAAAAACAAGCGAUAGCUGCGAAGACAAAUUGGUGGCGGUCAAAAGAAAAUUCCCUUUUUUUUCUAACUACUUUGUUGUUUGGUCCAAUUAAAAAAAGGUAAAUUAUACGAUUGGAGCUGGUAUUGCAAAAUGAUACACAAAUGAUUUUUUUUAGCAUUUUAAUCUAAUGAAAGAUUAUUAAAAUAAGUCAUUCUUUUAAUUCUCCUCUAUUAGAGAAUAUCAACGAUGAAAAAAAGAAAGAAAGGAGGAUCAACAGUGAAACUCCAUCUAACCCUAAUUAACUCAUCUGUGUAACUUGUAUUAGUAGUUUAUAGGUAUGCUGUAGGUUAUCUACAAAGCUUUAUUGAGUAAUAGACUCAAUAAAGUAAAAAUCCUAAGGAAUUAAUGCCUGAAAUUUUUCAAAAAUAGUUUUGAAAAAACUAAUUUGUUGACAAAAAAAUUAAUAGAGAAAAUAACUAGAGAUGAGCUUAUAUGCUUUUCCAAUAUAGAUGCAAAAUAUUUUCUUUCUGAAUAUCGAAAAAUGUUUCACAGUCGAUAACUGAAUAAUUAAUUGUUGAAAUUACAUUAUGGAAAAAAAAAACUAAAUCAAGAACAUGAGCCCCAAUACUAAAAUAGACCAAUAAGUACUAGCACUUGUACAAAAGCACAUGCAACAAUUUAACAUACAAAGUGGAGGCUCUAGCUUCUUAAUCCUUAAUGAAAAAUUCUAUAAUCACUUUUGAGAACCAUUCCAUCAAUUUUUAUCUCUCAAUGAUGAUGGUAUUUCAGAUUUUAAACGAUUGAAAAUAUUACAAUUUAAGGAUCAAAGUUACUUUUUUGUUUUAAAUGUAGGUAGGGUGUCUUGAAACCAAAAUUCUUCAUUUACACUCUCUCUUCCCCGACCCCGACCCCAACCCCAACCCCAGGGUAUAAACUUAACCUAAGGACAUGAUAUUUAAAAGAGAACCAUAGAAUCUCCCAUAAUUAAUAUGGACUAAGCUUGAACAUAGUCCCAACUAGUUUAGCAAAUUAAUUUCGGACUUCGGUUUUGACCCGAAAGAUGACCAUGUAACUUCCUGGCAUCUUGCUUGCUUAAAAUCGUGGUUUGACGCUUGACCGAAUCCCUCUGGUCCUUCUAGACUGCUGCCCAAUUUUACAACGGUCAACUAUUUCAUCCAAUACCCCUCAAAAAAAAACAAAAGAUAUCUCAACUGUCAAUAUUGAGACACGUACAUGUUUCAGAUUCACUAUAAAAACCCACCACUCGUUUCAUCCCAAUCAUCAAUCAUCACAAAAAUCCUCAAACAUCCAUAUUCUCAACUUUCACAAACGUCACAAGUUUUUCAUAUCAUCCCAUCCCACAAAGAAAAACCAGCAGCAACUUUUUAAUUUCAUCACUAUGUCUGGCUGCUACACUACUAGAGACCCUGUGAAGGUAGUGAUAAUCAAUACACAGUACGUGGAAACUGAUGCAAUGAGCUUCAAAUCAGUUGUUCAGAGGCUUACUGGGAAGGAUUCGAAAAUCGAAAUCGACCCUUCUUCUAAUUAUUCUUCUGCUUCAGGUUUUUAUGGUAAUAAUAAAGAAGAUCAUCGUCAUCAGCAGCAGCAGCAGCAGCAGAUGACAAGAUAUGGAUCUGCAACAGGUUUACAAAUGUCGGCCAAUGUUCCAGUUAUGUCUCGAGGGUUGUCGUUUAAGGAUUUCGAUAGGUUGCUUAAGGAGUUGCCCCCAUUGGACGAGCUUUUCCGGCUGUGUCCAGAGUAGUAUGCAAGAACUUUUUCAUCCUAAAAACGAAAAAAAAAAAAAAAAAAAGCAAGAACUUUUCUUCGCAAAUACAUUACAUUUACACAUAUCAUGUAUUCGUUUAUUCUUUCUUAAUGUAGCAAAAAUGCUAUCUUCUUUUGUGUAAUUAUCUUUCAUGUGUGUAUGAGAUCUUCUCUACAACGUUUCAGCAUUUUUAGAUGCGUUUAUGAGUGGUUAGGGUGGAAGGGGCGGCGGAAGGCGGCUGGAUGGAGGUCAUAAACCUUCUCGCUGCGAAUGUUUAACCUAUUGCUAAUAUGUUUUGAUGGCUGUUUAAUAUUGGUUAAACACAAAAACAGAUGAAUUUUUUAUGCAAUUAGAUGAGUAAAAUGGUUAAUUUACGGCGGGAUUGAUUUUAGCUGUAGAAGAUAAAGCACAAAAUAUGUUGAGUUUGCUACAGGCUACAUGUACCAGAGGAAUAGUUAAUGGGUUUAUUUGCCACUAUGCAUGUGCUAAAUCAACUGUUUGUGGUAUUGCUGAAAAAAUAAAGUGCAACCAUUGUAACCAAAGCUAUUUUUGAAAAAAAGAAAAUAAAAAAAUCAUUUGAGUUUUUUAAAUUUGUCUUCUUUGUAGUUGAUACAAUUAUUGGAAUUGACUAUCUAUAUAAAUAGGACCUUAAAACCUUUUAAAUAAUAUGCAAACUAAUUUAUGUUCUUAUGUGCAAACAACAAAAAUUUAUUUCAGUUCUUACGAUUUACGAUAAGAAUUCAUGUUUCAUACACAAUCAAUGUAUGGAUCUUUGUAUGCUAAGAUGUUAUGAUAGAUAACAUAUAUACCAGAGAGAGAGAAUUUGGAUUAUAUGGAUAUCUAUAUAUCAUGCAAGAUUCAUGAAAAUAUACAAAAAGAGAAUUUAAAAUUUAAAUGGAUAUUAUAUGUCAUGCAGCCUGGUCUACAUUAAAACAAUUUUACAUAAAGGUGUAGGAAAAAUCAAUCCAUAAGUUUACGCAUAUGUAACCUAUAUUUAUGGAAAAUUCAUCACUAAAUAAGAGAUAAAUUAUUAAGGGAAAAUGACCUGUUUCAUCCCUUACAUUUCACAAAAAUAUUUUUUUCAUCCCUCACUUUUAAAACGAAGCAAUUUGGUCCCUGACAUUUAAAAAUUAAACCUAUUACAUCCCUGAAUCUAAUUAUCAAUCUAAAUCAAACCAUCUAAUAACCCAAUGAUAAAUUUCGAAGAUAGAAUUGAUAGAUCAUUCCGUCAACUCCAUCAUAUUCACAUGACAUUUAUUGAACCAAAAAAAAUAAAAAGUAUAAGAUCAUAAAAGGUCAUUCUUUGUCUUGAAAUAAUAGAAUUUUUUUUUUUGGUAAAUCUUUUCAUGUACCGUUAGUAUAUACGCUUGCGAGUCUAGAUGUAUAUCACAAAUACAAAAUGUGGCGUUUAAAUUUAAAUUGAAAUGAUGUGGCAGGUACAUAAACCCAUCAGUGUAUACAAUGACAUUGUAAAAAAGAUUAAUUCUUCUUUUAGAUGUUAUAAUUUUUUAUUUUUUAUUUUUGGGUUCAUUAAACUUCACGUGAAUAUCAAGUUGAGUUAGUCAAGUGAUCUACAAAUUAUACCCCCCAAAAUUUGUAAUUAAGUUGAUAGAUGAUUUGAUUCAGAUUUAUAAUUGGGUUCAAGGAUGUAAUAGGUUUAAUUUUUAAAUAUCAUGGACCAAAUUGCUUCGUUUUAAAAGUGAGGGACGAAAAGAAUAUUUUUGUGAAAUGUAAGGGAUGAAACCGGUCAUUUUCCCAAUUAUUAAAUAUUUAUUAGCUUACAAAAUAAAAAUUUGUACAAACAUUAUAACAAAUUUUUAUUUUUAUUUUUAUUUUUUUUCUACUCAGGGGGUAUCCGGGCUUCGAGUAUGCCGGACCCGACUAAUUCCCCUGAGGCCCGAGAGGAGAGGCCCCAUCCCCUCGAACCGGUAACCACUGGAACUCGAUUCCUGGUGGGGGAGAAUGGACAACAGGACCUUAGGAGACUUCUCGUGACCAAUCGAGCUGUCCAGGAGGGCUUAUAACAAAUUUUUAUUUGUUUGAACGGAAAAUAUGAAUAUCUAACAAAUGAACAGUAUAAUUUCUAAUCGGAAACCCGUUAUAAACGUCAAACCCACAUGGGAACUUGAAGAACUAUAUAUAUAUAUAUAUAUAUAUAUAUAUAUAUAUAUAUAUAUAUGAACGUAACACAUAGCACAACGGAGCUUAUGUGUAAGCUUCCAAACCACAUGGUAGUCUUGUGUACUUUCUCUUCUGGCCUUUUUUUCCCCAUCGAGGAGCUCACAUUCUUGAGAUAAAAUCGCUUGUAUCCGUAUUUCUUUUCCCCCAACUAACAGAAAAUUGGUACUCAAAAAAGCAAGAUAAGGAGGGGCCUGCAAGCAAUUUGGCCAUUAUGUCACCAAAGUACAAGAAGAAUAAGUCCGAGGGCGCAUGCAUUUGGUGAACUUUGGCAGCCCAGAAUAUGUUUGGUGAAACUGUAGAAUGCUCUGCCCCGAGAGUUGCAACUACAAAAUGCUGAUUCUGAUCUAAGUCAGUUAGGUGCAUCAUCUCAUUUCUGCCAUAAAACAUUAAAAAGAAAGGAGAUAUUCGCCCAAUCCCUUCAAAUUCUCCAUCUUCUCCUAUACAGACAAGAAUAUACAUAUCCAUCCCUUUUUUUUUUUUUUUUAACAAGUGGGCUCAAACUUAAAUUACGAAGCCAAUUUGGUCAAAGUGUCACUGCUGCCAAAAUACUUAAAUGGUCUAAAUGCAGUAAUUUAAUCUAUCUCUGGAGUUUUGCAGGUCAUUAGACUAUUUAUAUUGUGGUUAGGUUUCAUUAGGCAGGACAAACUCCCGUACCAAAGCACAACAGGCAGUAUUUGCCAACGUUGAAAAUAUAUAGGAGGGGAAGCAACUCACAAAUAAGGAAAAGUUCAAAGAGUACCCUGAUUACUUCGUUAGUUCAACUUAGAGACAUAGGCAACAGCAACUGCAAUGCAUUUGGGCCAAAAAAAAAAAGGGAAAAAAUGAAUGGGAGCAUUAGAGCAUAGAAUAUAGACAUAGGCUAUGUAUAUCCAAGUUUUUGCAUGUUAGUUUUGUUGCCCUUUUUGGCUUGUCAAUUGCUAAUACAUAUGGUACUUUUUUGAACCCGAAAAGGGACAUUCAAUAUCCAAUAUCGUAGAUUGAGUUGAGUUUAUUAAACACAUUGUACAAGUAGAGGACAAUUGGUCUCGUAAUCCUCUUAACAAAUAUUAAAUUAGUAACCGUCCGUUACCGUUGGAAGUCGAUUUAAUGAGUAAAAGGUUGGUUGGGUGGCUGGCUGGCUGGCUGGCUGGCUACAAGGUUCAAGAAAGAAAACAAUGGGUGCCCAUAAAUCUCGGACUAUCCCAGAUGAUAUGUUCAUGCAUUGUCGAGGAACAAAGAUGAAAAUUUGUUGUUUAACAUGAUUCCGAUACCAACUCAAUGUGCACAAUUCAAGGAUGACAAAUUGACAAUUCCUUUCAAACUUUUUAUCUCUGUCGAGAGCCUUCAAUCUUUUGAGAGCUCCAUGGUCCCAUUUGUAAGGGAAUGAUCAGGGGGUGUCACAUGGAUGCAUUAGCAACAGCAACAAGAGCCAAUGUGAGGCAGGUGGAUACACACUUGAGCAAGACGGUGGGGUUUUCCAUUAUAAUUUCGGGCAACAAUAUAUAUAUAUAUAUAUAUAUAUAUUUCUACAUAUAUUUUUUAAUGUAUAUAUAUACAACAUGAAAAUUGUUCAUAUAUAUGUGUGUGUGUGAUAUGGAGUCAAGUUUUAAUCACACUUUUUAGCGCAAAUUUUAUACUUAAGAGCUAUAUAGCCCCCAUAAUCUUCAAUAUUAUUGUCUAUCCUCCUAGCAAUCCUUAGCCAAUGGCAUACGUAGCAUCUAAAAUGAAGGUUCUUAACUCUACGCGGUUCCAUUAAUUGAGGGGAAAAGAAAAAAAAAAGAAAAAAUUGAUGUGCUUUAGAAUCGAAAUUUGUGUGUACAAUCCAAGGACAAAUGGCAAAUAAUGGGUUCCAUUUUCUUGUACAUAGCUGGAUGCGACGUGUAGAAAGAAAAUGGUUCGGAGGACCGGAUGAAAGUCAUUAUGCAAAUGCAGAAUGAUUACUGCGAUUGAAAGAACGAAUCCCAUUCAAGGCAACUUACAGCUCCUGCAUGAGAUUUGACAAAUUUUGAGUAGAAGCCACCGGAAAGUCGGCAACGCAGCCAAUAGCUAGCUAUCAUUUGGCCCAGCCAGGUCAUGGCAAAGCUCAAAACUACGUGGAAACCCAUAUAACGGGGAGUCCUGACUUGUGACUAGACAGAAAGGAGAAGAGAAGACGAGGUCAAAAAGCCCACUAGGAGCCACUUGGAGCUCCAAUUAAAUUGCCACCCAAACUAAUCGUACCAUUUGAAAGCACAUAUUGGAGAGAACGUCCCUACUUCCCUUCAAUAAUAAUCAUGCAAACAAUUCAUCCAUUAUCAUUCCCAUUCAGCAAUCCAGACGUCUAGAUGGUGGAUAGUAUGUAAUAUGUACACGUUGUUUGGUUGGUUUGAGAUAACGAUAUAAGGAAAUGGGAUUCAAAUGUACAUUAUUGGCAUUAUUUGCAAGUUUAAACUUGGAUAUGAGUUGUAUGCUAUCCUCAUGUCUUUCUAAUAUCUAAAAGUUAAGUGAGGGCAUCCAUUUAAAAAAAAAAAAAAAUGACCCUAAUUAGCAUUCCCAGAAAAGUUCAGCGCACUCCAUCUUCUUUUGUAAAGCAAAAAAGGGUUUUUUUUUUUUUUUUACAGUGCUAACAUUAUUGUCUUAAAAAGCUGAAUAAUUAUUUCUACAAAGGUCGAUUCCAUACCUUAACUUAAAAUAUAGGUGCAUGGUAACAUAUAAUUUUACUCUAGAUUUGUUCAAUUUUUCUAACCAAACAAUGAAAAUUACCCUGUGACAAGUGAGCAGGGUGAAAUCAAUAAUAUGUUCCUCUUAACAAGACUUUGUCAAAUUGUCUAGUGCGUUUAUACCUCCGUGUGAUUGACGGACUAUUGUAUGGAGCGAGAUUUAUUCAAUGCACACUCUCGAAUAACAACGGCUGUAGUUUCCCUUGUGAGAAAUAUUUAAAAGAAAAUGAGUCUUUGUCAAAUUGCAUCCCUUUUGCUCAAAUAGUAGUCUCAUCUGGAGAUUAUUUUUCAUCUACUUGCAUGAAAAACAGUUGUUGUCGAAUAAUUACUUGAUGACUAGUCACACUCUUUCAAUUCAGUCUUACAUAAGUAGUUGUCAAGCAUGUUGAACAUUUAAAGCGCCACAAGUAAGCACAAAACCCUCAUACCAAUUGAGCUAGACAUUUUCAAUGCAAAUUGAGAAGCUUUCCCUGUAACAUCUUACCAAUUGUUGUUUUGAUAUCCAUUGUAGAACUUGAUAUGCAUGCAAACGCACACUUGCAUCGGGAAGAAGAAGUGACAAAAGGUCACUUCUGACAAAACUAUAAUAAUUGUACCCAAAGCCAGGAACAAAAAAAAAAAAGAAAUACAGUGAAAAGAUAAUUCCCAUCAUAAUGUACAAAAGUAAUGUGCAAGAGAAAACAAAAAACAGAGAAAAUUUUCCUAUUGGAUUGGAGAGUCCAUAUAAUUGGGGGGUGGAAACUGUAAAAUAGGAAAGGGAAGUAAAAAGGAAAAAAAAAAAAAAAAGGAAAGGGAAGUAAGAGAAAGACUGAAGGCAAUAGUUUCUUGAGGAUAAUUGGGCAUAGAAGACAGUCUGCUGCUUUGUCGGUUAUCUGUCUGGGGGCCCACUCACUUUUGUUUGACCCACAUUUGUUGGGUGGAGCUGACAUUUGAUAAGACAAAGCUGACUAGCAGUCUUUCCCACUUGCAACUUACACACUACCUCAGUAUACAGAGCUAUUUAUUGACCGCCAUUGUUUUUAGCUCUGAAAAUGAAAAGCAUGCCGUCUGAUAAGAGUCACAUUUAGAGGAUAGGAUUAGGAGUAAGAGCAGGAGAAGGUUAGAUUAAUUAUUAUCAUUUGAUAAAAAAAAAAAAAAAAGCAUGCAAAUAAUGCAGCACCAAAGUUCCCUUUAUCUUAUUUAUUUAUUUAAUAACAAAGUGUACAAGUGAAAGCAAAAACCACCGAAUGCUUGUACUUUCCUGAAUGAAGUGUGAAUGAAUACCCAAUUUCGAAGUCGGAAUCUUUUUUCUUUCAUGCGACAAAAUCAAAUUAAAUAUUGAGGUGAACAAACAAAGCCGAGGUAAGUUGGCUUAAUUCAAUUGGUAAGGUCCGACCAAUUUUUCAGUAAAAGUUUGUGUAUUCGAAUUGACAUGAUGAGGAUGAUGAUACUGAGCAAUCUGUAAGAACCUUUGUAAACGAUUUUAUCUCGGCAAUAUACCUUAAUUAUUGAACUCAUUUAAACUUUUUCUUUUCUCUUUCAAAAUUAAAAAAAAAAGGUAGGGUUGACAAGACUCGGACAAGUUCCUAAUCCAACUCAUGUUUUCCACCUUUUUACCAUGUUUUCCACCCGUUUACUUGCCAAAUUUAGGUGUUGACUUAUUAAGAUAUCCCGUCCGCUCCCAUCAUGCGUAUGCUUAGGAAACUUGAUUUUUUGGGCUGUGACUUAGCAAUGUUUGUGUACCUAAAAAGUUUAGGAGACUCUCAUAGAGACUUGAUUUUGUGGGUUGUGAUUUUUUAAACUCUGUGUUGCUAUCGCAACAUGUAACAGAUGCACGUAUGUACAAUCAUUGCUGCGAAGUUGGCGCUGUUCUCGAAGGAAUUAUGGUAAUUCUGCACAAUCCAUUGAGCUCUGCUUGAGAAGCUGUAAUAAUUGGGGGGUUGUAGAGAAUAUCCUUUGGAUGCCAUUCAAAUGGGGAUGAGUACAAAAUAGGACACUUGGUCGCUGCUGCUUGUAACAUUUGUUCGGAUGUGCUUUACUUCCAAUGAACCAGAGCCUUUAUGUGAACGAUCGAUCACUUCUCCUUUUUGUACGAAAUGGACUAUGUACAACAAGCUAACUGCAAAACAUUGGAUAAGAAAUCUGACUACCAUGCCAGUACUUUUUAACCCAAAUGCGAAGGAAAAAAAGAAAGAAACAAAAAGACCAGUUCCAAUGGGAUAUAUAGCUAGUUGUGGAGCAAAUAAUACCGUAACACUUUUUUUUUAUACGAUAUCUAUCUCUCUGUAAGAUAAAGAGACAAUUGAAAAUGUGCGUUUAUAAUGUAAUCAGAUAAAUUUGUACAAAUAAUUUAUUAACCAAACACAUUCAAUUAUUGUUUCAUGAAUCUAAGAACAAAAAAUUUAUUUAUUGUGCAUGAUGUUAGGCUGCCUCGCACAAAUUGACCUUCAAAAAAAAAAGAAAAGAAAGAUCAUUCCAAAUUCUGAUUUCAAAGAAGUAGAGAAGAUUUCGAAGAUAAGCUUCACCACCUCUGUCUCGACAUUCAUGAAACAAAUAGAUAAGGUCAGCAUGCAGGUAUGUGCACAGAGACGAUUCCAUCAGAUUUUUGUGCCGAUUGGAAAUCAUCUAAAGUUGAUGGAGCACUUUAUUUUGCUUACCAAUACUUCUUUCUAACAAGAAUAUUGCAUGGUUCAUUGGAUUUGUCAAAAUAUCAUCAGACAAAACUUUAUGCACCUAACAUUGGAAACUUGAGGCAUCGCACAUGCUUACCUAACGCCUUAGGUCAUAUGCAUAUAUAAUCCCGUCGUCAAACUAUUCUUCAAAUGGAUAUGAACAUCACUUGACCUAAUUUUUAAUCUACUACUAAUAUUUAUGCACUUUACGUUAAGUAAUGACUAAUUGAAGUCAGAUUAGUGGUAGAUUACACUCCUUUUUCUACCACCUUGCUUUGCUCAAAAACUUUUCGCCAACACACGGCAUUAUUCAGCGAAUUCUUCAAUGUACUAAAUUCAAGUCGGUUCUUUUCUUGUUUAUUUAUUUAUUUUUUUGGUUGGUCUUCGGUGAUAAAAUUCUAGUCAAUGACAAUGAAUAAGUUAAACACGUAUGAAAGGACUAAUCAAAUCAUCUUUUCCCUAACUGCAUAAACCAUCGCUUGUACAGGCUCGCUUAAAUUCAAGAAUAACUCAGAAUACUAGCCUAGAACAUAUAAAUAUAUACGUAGUUGGAAGUCUUAUGAGGAUCUAUGUUGCGGCAUAAGUUAAAUAACAUAUAGAUUAUAGACCCUUAAUUCCAACUCUGUAGAACCAGAUAAAAAGUAGCUAGCUAAAUUUUUAAUACAAACUUAAAGACCUCAGCAUCGUACAGCAGCAAUAUGAGUCAUGUUCAGCAUAGGUUUUUCCUUAAUUAGUCAAGAUAAUUUAAUGCACUCCAACCUAUGAACUAACUAGCUAGUACUCAUUCUUAAUCAUGCACAGACCAUAUGAUACGGGAUUAUGUUAUCAGGCUUUAGGAUUAGUGAUUUGCUUACACUAUUGAUGGUGAUAGGAACUAAAGAGAAUGUGGUUGGAACUUACUUACAUUGUCUUUUAAGUUAACGUGUGAUUGCCACUAAGGAAUUCACGAAGCCAGGUAUUUGGUUCCACUAAGUUAUCGUCCGCAUGCAUUCUCUCUGAUCUUCUUUCUUUGGCCUCGAUGGCUUGGACAAAUCCAGUGGAGUUGUUUGAAAAGGUGGCUUGAACUAUAACUUCUAGUAGUAUCCGUGUAGGACAUUUCAUUUUCAGGACUAGGUUUGAUUAGUUCUCAUGUAUGUUUGUGAAGUGACUUGAGCAAGUUAGUCAAUUUAGUUAGCUGAUGAAGCUACGGGAGAAGAAUUCCCAGGCAUGCAAGAAAGGUUCUUUUGAGUUUUGACAGGUAUCUGGAUUUCACAAUCCUGCUGCCAAUGAUAUAUAUAUAUCGAUAAAAACAUCAAACCUUUUAUUAGAUUUGUCAAAAGUAGCAACAAAAGCAAUUGAUUAUUGACACAUGGCAUCAUUUUACUUGUUUCUUGUGCAUCAAUAUUGCUCUCAUUUUAGUUAAUUAACGGUUCUUAUUAAUAGCCAUGAGAUGGUUAUUCUUUAUUAGAAAACCCAAAAAAAAAAAAAGAAAAGAAAAAAUGAAGUGGAGUUGCAGCUAGGAAGAAAACUUAAAGCGGGAAGGGGAAAUUAAUUAAGGGGAUCAGGAAGACAGUGAGUGAGAUGUAAAACAAGGAAAAUCAAGAUCGUAAGUCAGUGAGUUAUACAUAUCAGAUCCUUCAUCAGACAAAAUAAUUAGGAGCAAGCUAAGCUACCAAAGAAUAAGCAAAAAAGGUUAAUGAAUUAGACCUUACACAGUUUCAAUUCUGUCACAGUUGAGAACCAGUAAUAGGUCGAGAUUUUCUUGAUGAGCCCAGGAAUAUUGUGGCGAUGUGAUGACCCUUUUGUCCAUAAUUAAAUAAGUCACGUCUUGUCCAACAAAGUGAAGCAAUCCAAAACUUUUCCUUCGAUUUGUAAUAUCUAAUCCCACACGAAAUUGUCUGGAAUUCUAUUAAUCUUGCCAUCUUUUGGAACUUAAUGCACCUCAGCCUAAAAUGAUUUGACCCAAUUGUAUACUAGAAAGUGUUUCUAGCUUUUAAGUUAUCUCUUCCUCGAUCUCCUGAGACUGGCAACUUUCAUUGAAUUGGAAGAUAUAUAUAUAUAUUUAUAUAUAUAACAGGAAAUAUAUGAUUCUUUCCAUUUGGCGAAUCAAUACUUCUUUUCUUAUACGCUACUUAGUUAGUUGUCUUUCAAUCUGCCCAAAAUUAAGAAAAUGAAUCCCAUUUGCCUCUUUCUUUUCAGAUUCUCCAAAAUUAGUAGAUGUUUUUCCUGAUUACACCCCCUCCAAUUUUAGUAUUCAUCGUGUCCAACUGUGCCUAGAAAUUUAGUUGGUUUUCACGUAAAUUCCUAGUUACAAACACGGUUAAUAUAUAUAUAAAGUUGCACAUUCAUCUUUUCAAAAAAGGAACAAAGUUGUAGGGAUAAUUCUGGCAAUUUUUGUCACUGUAAGUACCGUAAACUGCGAGUUAACUCGCUUCGCUUUCAGUUGAUAGCUGUUAUAUUUAUUACGUUUUUUUUUUUGAAACAUAAUUAGCUCUCCAAACAGCUUAUAUUAACUAUAUAAUUAUAUUUGUCAAAAAAAAAAAGAACUCUUUUAUUUAUUAUAAAUUGGAAAAAUUAACGUGGGUACACUUGCUCUUACAAAUCAACACAAACCGUGUUCCACUAAAACUCAAGUAUGAUAUAACCCUUUUUGACCAAACCCCAUGUGUGUCAGACCCAAAAGGUUCCCCCAAGAAACCUUUUCUUUUUUCUUUUUUCUUUUUUUUUUUGUUAGGGAAGAAAAGAUCACUGAUAUAUUCAUACAUUCAUUCAUUCAAAUCAUUUAGAUUUUUUUUUUUUUUUGAGCAAGAGAAUUUAAAGAUAGUCAACUGUUAUAGUGUAUGGGAUAAUGCUGCAGUGCCCUGAAGGCAAAGGCACUUAGACAUGAAAACAUGACUGGUAGGUUUUCUUAACUAAUAAAUUUUUUAUUCCCAAAACUCAACAUAGCUGGGAAAAUCAUGAGAUCUUAAUUCGUAAAAACAGGAACAUUAUAUUUUCUUAAUCAAGUAAUUAUCUUUUUCUAAAGAACCAUAUUAGCUAGAGAAGUCAUGACUCUUAAGACCUUAAUUGAAUUGUUAUACCAUUUUCUUUUCUCUUAUUCAGUUCUAAAUUUUAGAGUUUCUCUCAAAUCAAAAGGUAGGUUAUAUAUAUACACACACACACACACAAGCGCGGUAAAAUUAUAUAUAUAGGGAUAAUUUCAGAAAUCUCCCCUGAGAUUCUGACAAUUUCACUAAACUUCCUUGAGAUUUUCAAUAUUGCAUUUACCUCCCUUGAUGAUAGAUAAUAACUAUAAUAACCUUCAUAAUUUUUUAAAAGAUUAGCCAUUGAUAAAAAAAAAAAAAAGGGAAAAGAUAACAGAAAAAAAAAACAAUUUUUCUUGACCAAGCCAUAUAUUGUGGCCAAACUAUUUCAGUUAUGACCAUUAAAUUGUAACCUUCAAUCAAAUAUGCUAAUCAAUGGAGACAUCUCCUUCCUUCUAUCACUCAGAUAUGCUACUGAUAUUGAUUAUGAUGGAAGCAAUCAUCAUUACCAACAACCCAAUUAUUUAUAUCAUUGAACACAAAAAAACUACUUGAUAAUAAGAAAGUAUAAUUUGAUAGAUUGUACUAAAACUACUACCCCAAACUUACACUUUGUUGAUGUUUUGUCUGAUUCUUCUGAAUAGACAUCAAACUUGUUCUCAAUAAAAUUGUGUCAAUUCAGAGAAAAAAAUAUAAGCUGAUAUAGGAUAACCAACCCAAAUGUUGAGAGCAAAGGUCAGAAGAAUUUUGGUAACUGAGGGUUUGGCCAUUUGAGUGGGGAAAAGGUAAGAAUUGUGAGUUUUAUAACAAAUGGUUUGAUAGGCAAUAUAUGGAAGAAAUCUAUAGAGAGGUAAAGAUUGUGAAGGUAAGAAUUACAACGAUAGAUUUUGGCACCUAAGAUAAAGAGUUUGUCGGAAAGAAAAAGAAAUGAAAAGAGUUUUUAAAAGUUUGGGUAGAUGCAAAAAAUCAUGGGGAUGAAAAAUAUCCGAACAUUGGCUAAACAAUAAAACUCAUAAUUUUGGUAGCAUACAAGUGUAUUCUUGAUUUUUAAAAAAAUUUACUGGUCAUGCAUAUUAAGGAAAUUUAGAUGAGGGCAAUUUUGGGCAUUCAUAUACUUUUUUGGUCUUGCAUUAUCAAAGUGAAAUCCAAACCUAUAUUUUAGGGGAGGUAUGUGUAAUUUUCAAAACGUGAGGGGAACUGUUUGAAAUUACUAGAAACCUCAGAGGAAGUUUCUGCAAUUAUCCCAUAUAUAUAGAUAUAUAUAUAUAUAUAUAAUUCCUAUUACUACUUCCAUAACCCUAUUAUUGACUUCUAACAUAACUAAACAUUAAGUCGUGACUCCUUGGAAUUACUACUUUAUAACUUAAUAAUAUAUUUACCACUCAAGCAGUAUGUGAUACAGGGAUAUUGCUCGUUAUCCAAUCGCUUUGCUGUUCGAGGGAGUAAAAGCAAUAAGUUGGCGGUUCAAUCCCUUUCUUGCUUUAAUGGAGUUAAUUCAAUCAAAGAUAAAGGAUUCAAAGAUAUAUUCCGAUGUCACAUUAAAAUAAACAUAACCGCCCAAAAAAAAAAAAACAAUUUAAAGAAAGAAGAUUUUGUUCAACUUUGGAUUCAAUCCUCAUCCGACUGAAAGAAAACAAGCCAUCCAAUCAUGCAGGUCUUUAAUUAAAAAAGUGGGUACUACAAAAGCAAGGGAGACACUUAUUUGACUCGUCAAUCUCAUCCUAUAAAUAUAAAGGGCUGUCCAAAUACUUGAGGGAGACACGAGGAAUCGACUAACCAAGGAAUCAUACAAAAGAACGACGGAAAAUGAAUUUAAUAGCUAAGGCUAAUGCCCCCAAUACGUCAAAUCAAAAUAAACUGUUCAACGGCUAAAAACUGCCUUAUUGAAAUCAGCCCUUCAAUUCGGGCCACGUUUACAGGUAGAAUCUACUUUCCAUAAAGGGGUGCCCUUGUCGUCCACUUGAUUAAAACGUGGUAAAUUGACCAUCACCGUCCAGACGACCGACACGUGUCCUUCGCCGCGUUUCUGGGAGCCCAGUUAACCGACACCCGCCUAAAGCUAACGGUCGAACGAAAUCUUUCUUUUCGUAUGGUUAGUAGAUUCAGAUUGAUUCAAAGCCGACCGCAUUUGAUUGGAUCUUUUGCUUUUUCGUGUUGAAAAUUAAGCCGAAAAGCAAAAGCUUGAAUUCCAUUCCAUUUGGAUCAAGCCCCUUAAUCAUGCACCUUCUCUAUUCUUUCUUUUCUUUUCUCUUUUUUUUUUUUUUGGAGGAAAUUUGCACUUGAUUUUUAAUGACGGACAUGCACAAAUUCCUAGGCACCAGAUUUCAAAGGAGAUGCAUUUUAAUCAUGUGGUUCCAUUUGGACUGCUUUUUUUUUUAAAAAAAAUUUCUAUGAAAAAAUAUAUUAUAACAAUUCGAUACAUGUAAAGUGAAAAGAUGAUUGAAAAAUAUAAAUACGAAAAACGUAAAAACUUUUCUCGAAAAACUCCAAUCCAAACAAUGCUGACGGAGGGAGUAACGCUUACGAAUGUGCCUUCUUGAAACGCCAAAUUGACACUUUACUUAAGAUGACGAUGAUGAUAUUGGCCUAAAGGACAACAAAGAAAUAUUGCAUUGAGGUUAAAUCGGUAGGUGUAUAGACUAUCCACCCCACUAGCUCAAAAAAAUUAUAGCUAGUUUCUUUCUCACAGCAAAAUCAUAUUGAUGUGCUAUCACAGCGAGUGAGGAUUCAUUGAAGUAGGACACGAGAGAAAAACUUCUCAAGAAAACAACAUUGCAUAUAUUUUUAAGGGGAUUUUAUGAUGAAAACCAUCUUAAAAUAUAGUAGCGAUCCACUCUUCCUUUUGAACACCUUGCUCAAGAAAUCAUACUCAGUUGCUCUUCCUAUCUUCAAAGAAUAAUUCAUUGUCAUCGCAUUUCUACAUGAGGUUGCAUGCAUGACUAUUAAAAGUUGGAACAAAAUAUCAGCUGUCAUGUGAUCAAAUCAAAAAGGCAACUUUAUCACAGGUGAGUGGUACACUUCACUAGAAAAAUAGGGUGGCAACUUUAAGGCGGCAUUGCUUGCAAAGGAAAGGUAAAUGGGGUGGCUCCUUAUUAUUCCCAUCUCAGACUUUGUGUCGUCCGUGUUGUAAGGCCCAAUAUGUGCACAAAUAUCCAAGCUCCAUUCCAUGACUUCAAGCCUGACAAUCUUUCUCAGGCCUGUCAAGUUAGCCCAAGAGGCUAGCUUUCCAUUUACAAGACAAAGUAGAAGAUACUGUAAUAGAAGGCCUUUACGGAAUAAAAGCUGUAAUCAUCUGCUCAAGUAAUUGCUGUAGUUUGUCAAGAAAAUGUCAUAUCCAUUCAUGUGAAUAAAUCACCGAAAAUAAUAAUAGUGUUCGAAUUGUUUCCUAUCACCAAAAAAUGACACGAUAAUUGGUAUUACGUCGACGGUGAGUCCAACAAAAUCGUUGAGGCACCAUCAAGUAGGCUUCCUUCGAAAAAAAAAAAUUUAUGAUUUGGUUUGGCAUUAGCUACGCACGCGUAAACCAAGUCAACAAAAUUCAGCAUGAUGAGAUUCAGUAAUCCAAGAAAUACGUGGUUGGUUCAUUUAUCCACUACCUGAUCAAAUUCUCUGAUCCCCAAUGAUUUUCGAGGCUAGCGGAUUGGUGGAGAAGUGAUUGGAUUGCAUUGACCCAAUCUUUGCUUUGGGCUUCAAAAUUGUUGUGGUAACAAUCACUUUGCUGGUUGGGGAAAUAGAUUAGACUAGACCAUGUCUCAGGCCUAGAAAAGUUUAACAAAGCCUAGACCUUACGUCCCGCAUUACUUUGGGGUAUACAUUUUCCAACAAAGUAUUCACUAUUUAGCUGUCACAAGCCACGAGUCCGUUUGGCCCCGCGUGAAUGGUCCAACAGUUUGGCCCCGCGUGAAUGAUCCAACAGUAGCGCUUCUUAUCGGUGACUCUUAAGGUUUCAAGUUCGGAGACUUGGGUUCCUUCGCGCACUUAUCGCGUUUGGGUCGGGUUCCAACGCCUGGCCCGAGUCAUAGGGGAUUAGUCGGGCCCGUAAGGAUUGACCCGGACAUCCCUGUGUCGACAAAAAAAAAAAAAAAGAAGCCACGAGUCCAUUUGAAUUCCUCUUUUAGGAGUUCUCGCAAAAAAGACAAAAAGAUAUGUCAUAACAAUUUAAUGUAUACGACGUAGAAAAAUAAUUAGAAAAUAUGUUUAUGAAAGAUGUAAAAGUUUUUCUGCUUUAACUCUUACUAUCAGGUUUUUGGGUCUUCCAUAGGACGCAUCUUUCUUCUCCCUCUUGAUGGGAAUACAUCUAGAUGAUAAAUGUGAAUUUAUUUGCAAGAUCCAUUUUCAGUUAUUUUGUUUCCCUGUUUAUUACAAGGGUCACGAGGAUAACUUAAAGCAAUGCUGUAAAACUUGUAAAUGUAUUCAGCUGGCAACUGGCAUAAUAAAAUCUUUUAACACGAAAAAUCAAUCAAUUUGUGGUGGAGCCAACAAACAAGUGGUUGAAUCUAGUCAAUCGAUGACAUUACUUCUAUUGCAAUUGGAAUAGCUGUGGUUCAAGGAAUCAUUUCGAAUGUUUCAUAUUAGCUAUUUUUUGAAGUGUUUUUGAAAAAUUUUACUAUAACAGUGUAUAUGAAAAAAAUUUUACUAUAAUUUUUUUUUAAAUAUUUGAUAUGUAAUAUGGAUGAAAUGUUUUUUAAAUUAUUGUGUAUUACUGUAAUAUUAUAUUUAAAAAACUUGUUUUUUUUUGAAGAAAUGACCAAUCCAAAUGGAGUUGAUUUGUGAUUAGUAUGAUAGAGAUUUUCAGGACAGAAUCAUUAUAGUGGGUGAUUUGUUGCUAGAUUUAAUUCAUUCUGAUUCGUCCCUAUCCCCUGGUUAACAUACUUGAAUCACUUUCAACUUACCUGUACACACAUGUAAUCACAAUUAUUACACCUUUGCAUUAAUUUUUUUUAAUUAAGUAUUUUUAUCAAAAAAAAAAAAAAAAGAGGAACCCCUUUUAACAAGUGUUUAUUGGCCAAACCAUUUGAAAUAUUGGAGUUGAAUGCCAAUGUGAAAAUUUUCCUUUCCUUUUUUUUUUUUUUUUAUAAAACAAUUUUCUUCAAAUCUAAAUUUAGUAAAAAACAUAUUUCCAAUUGGGGGGAAUACUUUUAGGACAAGCCUACACCGAUUUCUAUUUCUGGCUGCUCUGCCUGGUCUCUCUCAUUAUCCAAUCAGGUCCCACAUUUUUCACCGAUAGUCAACCAGUAACCACCACCAGAUCUGACCGCCUAUUCUUAAAAUCCAACGGCUGAAAACUCCCCUUGACCCACAAAAGGUCACCGCACCACCGCCUGGUGAGUGAGUUGGGAAACACUUGGAGAAUUCAUGUAAUCGAGACACUUUUCCUGUACACUUGAAUGCACAGCUCCAAAAAUAUAAACAAAGAGCUUCACUUUAUUUUAAAUGAAUUCAAUAGAAACUCCAAGAAUCAAAGCCUCAGAAAGAAGAAAUCUGAACUGCUAAUUCUUUUUCAACUUACAGUUCAUGGAUCUUGAAAAGAAGGGUACCCUUUACUUUUUGUUGAUUUCAUUAAGUUUUGCUGCUUUUUUUUUUGUGUUUUUGUUCAUUUCUUUUACUCUUUUAUGAUCUGAUUGGAAUAUCUGAAGUGGGUUUUGAUUUUUGUUCGGUUAUAAGUACUUUUGCUUGUGUUUGAGUGGAAUUAUUGGAACAAAGACUUGAUUUUGCAAGUGGGUUUAUGGGGUUUUGGAUUAGCUUGCAUUUGUGGUUUGUGCAUAUCUGGUUUUUGUGGUUAGAAUUUAGUUAGGCUCCUUACCUGGGCUUUUAAACUGGGUGUUAGUAUUUGUUUCACAAUAAUCAAUUUGAAGAUGGAAAAGGUUGAGUUGAAUUAGUUCUAAAAAAUGAGUGGACUAGGUGCAUCUUAUGACAAGACUUUUCUGUGGUGCAAUUAUGCUUAAGUUCGUGAAUAUCAUUAGAGGGGUAUGAUUUUCAUCGAAGGAAAUUUGACAACCUUAAUGGCAGUCACAACGGAUUAAAUAGGUGAUCAGUCGAGACAAUGUCUAUGUACUUAAUCUGAGCAUUUGUGGAAAUAGUGAAGAGUCUUGUUGUUAGAUGCUGAAUACAGCAGUUUGGAAAGUAAUUCCGGUUAGCAAUGAAGUCAAUGCAAGAGUUGAAUUUUGUUGAUAUUUUGCUUGGCUGUUUGAAGUCUGAUGCAUGAACAGAUGCAGGGAAUUUUAUGUUUUAGUCUUUUGCAUAUUUGGGAAAAUAAAUUUUGUGUGCUAAAAAAUCGUGUAGUACUAUUUUGAAUCUGGAGCUUGUUUCUAAGGCAUGUGUUCUGAUAAGAAAGAACAACAUAUGUGAAUAUCAAUUUGUACUUUUUUAGGACAUUAUUUCAUCUGGUAGUCACUAUAGCUGAGUUAGUACUAUUUUUACUACCUUGAUUUCUAGUUGUGCUAUUAUAGUCUCAUGGCUCAGAAGAAUGAGGAUGAGAUGUAAUUGUUGGUUUUGUUAUUGUGUAUUCUACUGCAGGUGUGUAGACCAGGGACUAUCAGGGGUGGAGACAAUUAACUGAGCAUGGAGUCCUGUAACUGCAUUGAGCCACAAUGGCCUGCUGAUGAGUUGUUGAUGAGAUAUCAAUAUAUCUCAGAUUUCUUUAUAGCGCUUGCUUACUUUUCCAUCCCAUUGGAGUUAAUCUAUUUUGUCAAAAAAUCUGCUGUGUUUCCUUAUAGAUGGGUGCUUGUGCAGUUUGGUGCAUUUAUAGUUCUUUGUGGAGCUACGCAUCUUAUAAAUUUGUGGACCUUUACCAUGCACUCAAGAACUGUGGCCAUAGUCAUGACAGCGGCAAAAGUUUUGACGGCUGCCGUGUCAUGUGCGACAGCUCUAAUGCUCGUACACAUUAUACCUGACUUAUUAAGUGUCAAAACAAGGGAACUAUUUUUGAAAAAUAAGGCUGCAGAGCUAGAUCGAGAAAUGGGCCUAAUUCGUACACAGGAAGAAACUGGAAGACAUGUUAGAAUGUUAACUCAUGAAAUAAGAAGCACUCUUGAUAGACAUACUAUCCUAAAGACUACGCUUGUUGAGUUGGGCAGAACUUUAGGCUUGGAAGAGUGCGCAUUAUGGAUGCCAACACGCAGUGGAGUAGAGCUUCAACUGUCAUAUACUCUUCAUCACCAAAAUCCUUUUGGAUUUACUGUACCUAUACAGCUUCCUGUGAUUAAUCAAGUUUUUAGUACAAACCGUGCAGUAAAAAUAUCACCAAAUUCUCCUGUAGCAAAACUCCGACCUUCUGGAAAGUACAUGCAAGGAGAGGUUGUCGCUGUGCGUGUUCCCCUCCUGCAUCUCUCUAAUUUUCAAAUAAAUGAUUGGCCAGAGCUGUCAACAAAGCGCUAUGCCCUCAUGGUAUUGAUGCUUCCUUCAGAUAGUGCAAGGCAAUGGCAUGUCCAUGAGUUGGAGCUUGUGGAAGUAGUUGCCGAUCAGGUUCCAACUUCCCUAUCGUCUCCUUCAAUUUUGCUGAGCUUUUCGCAUGGAAAGUACUUCAAUUUUGUGAUGUGAUGUAUAUGAGGUUAAAAGGUUGUUGGGAAUAUAAAAUGUGGUUGAAAAAACGUGUUUGUGAUGCAAGCAAAAUAAUACUUGGGAAAAUUUUGUUUCCAAACACACCAGUUAACAUUAGAACUUAAUAAACUUAACUGACUGUUGCAGUCUUGCAGUUAGUACAGCAUAUUGUAAUGAAAACAGGUCAAUGACUUUACAGAAAGUUUUCCUGAUUAAGUAUUACUAAGAUUUUGUUUGAGUAACUAAGCAUAUGUGUGGUUAAUGGACUAUCAAAGCAGAAAAUAUGGGUUUGAGAUGGUUUUUGAAAUUGGCAUUCUCCAAUGAUCGUGGCCUUUUUAAAUAUGAUGCCAGACCCAUAAAAAGGUCUUAAACCAAGUUUUCCUUUCAUGGACUACUUUCGAGUUUGCUUUUGACAAGCUUAUCCAUUUGAUCAGGAGUUACAUUUAGGCUUUCCCUCUUGUUUCUUGCUUAGUUUUUAUCAGUUAAAUGUUCAUAACUGGGUCAAAACUCAAUCUGUGCAUUCUGCACUACUUUUCAUGGAAAAAUAUGAGAUCUAACAUAGGUUUUUUCAAAGUGUAGGGUUAAGCAUUCUAACAUUACUUGUCUGGAUUUAUGAUGAACUUCACACUGUUACAGACCUGCUUUUGAUCAUCUACACCAACUUAUUACUUGUGUACCUACAGCAGCUCAGACUUUGGAUCAGAAUAGUUUGUUUUGGUGACAUAUGGAGUAUAUAACCCACGAAUUUUUGUUAUACCAGGCUGCUGUUCAGAAGUCUGCCCAUUAACACUAUUAAAGAUAAUUCUUAUUGGUCAGUAUAUAAUGGUAGUGCAAUUUAUUGAGAACUAUGCCCAGUAAUGUUCCAAAAGAGAACUCUAAAUAGUUAGUGGAAAAUGACAGACUAUUGAACAUGCGAGCUUCCCUCUCACAAUUUUACUUUCAUUUGUAAUACUAAACAACCUUGUGGUAUGGUGACUAUGUGCUGCAAGUUCUCUUCCUUAAUUCCAUUUAUGAAAUGUGUCUCACCAAAAUUGACUCCCUUCACUGAUGCCUCAAUGCGUGUUCCUCUUUUUGUAGUUUUGUGUUACUUUAUUUGGAUGUAGUUGGCCUCCAAAAUAUGUUUGAGCCAAGAAGUGCUUAUCAUAAUAUCUUGUCCUGACCCAGGUAGCAGUAGCUCUCUCACAUGCAGCAAUUUUGGAAGAGUCAAUGAGGGCUAGGGAUCUUCUUAUGGAUCAAAAUGUUGCCCUUGAUCUGGCAAGAAGAGAAGCAGAAACAGCUGUUCGUGCUCGUAAUGACUUCUUGGCUGUUAUGAAUCAUGAAAUGAGAACACCCAUGCAUGCAAUUGUUGCACUUUCAUCUCUACUUCAGGAGACUGAACUAACGCCCGAGCAACGCUUGAUGGUUGAAACAAUUCUCAAAAGUAGCAACCUUCUGGCUACUCUUAUCAACGAUGUCUUAGAUCUUUCAAGGCUUGAGGAUGGUAGUCUUCAACUUGACAUAGAACCUUUUGAUCUUCAUGGUCUCUUCAAGGAGGUAAGAACAUGAUAUCCAUCAAUUUUUAGUGUUUCUAUGUCAGUUAUGUGUCUUGAACUUUGAGUUUUGUUUCAUAAAGCACCCCUUAUCCAUGGCUGAUUGAGGUGUUUGCUUCUGAUUGCAGGUUAUUAACUUGAUAAAACCUAUCGCAUCUGUCAAAAAGUUGUUUGUCACACUGAGUAUGUCAUCUGAUUUGCCAGAGUAUGCGAUUGGUGAUGAAAAGCGGCUGAUGCAGAUCAUGUUAAAUGUUGUUGGCAAUGCUGUGAAAUUCUCAAGAGAGGGUGGCAUCUCAAUUUCUGCAUCUGUUGCAAAAUCUGAUUCUUUAAGAGAUCCUCGAGCUCCUGAUUUUUUCCCUGUGCUCAGUGAUAAUCACUUUUAUCUGCGUGUCCAGGUACGUUUUGAAUAUACAGGACUAAUAUCCUGUCACAAUCCAAGAAUUCCACUAAGAGACUGAUAAAGGGGUGAUGAUUGUGUGCUCUGUGUAGGUAAAAGACACAGGAUCAGGAAUUAGCCCCCAAGAUAUUCCUAAGCUAUUUACAAAAUUUGCACAGAGCCAGUCAUUAGCAGCUAAAAAUUCUGGUGGUAGUGGUCUUGGUCUUGCAAUUUGUAAGAGGUAUAACAUGUUCCCAUUUUUCUGAGGAGAGUUUUUUUUCAUGUUAUAUGGCUAUUCCAGUUGAAAUGUCAUUUGCAUUUUUCUGAUUGUUGCUUGGACUUUGCUUAUAAGAAUGUAUCACGUAGUUUUUUUUUUUUUGGGUGCUCCCAGGUUUGUUAAUCUCAUGGAUGGGCACAUUUGGCUUGAAAGUGAAGGUCUUGGCAAGGGAUGUACUGCUAUCUUUAUGGUAAAACUUGGACUACGUGGGCGUUCAAAUGAAGCUAAGCUCCAAUACGUGUCCAGAGCCCCUGUAAAUCAUGUACGGACAAAUUUUACCGGGCUCAAGGUCAUUGUAAUGGAUGAUAACGGGUUGGUUGAUUCUGUACCCUUUUAACCUCUAUUGAUAUCUAAGGGAAGUUAUAAGCCAUCUGAUAUUUAUAGUAGUUAGAGUCUUGGUAGGCUAUUAUAGGGCUAAACUUUAACAAGAUCUGAUGUCUAGGCGGUGAGGUGGGCAUAGACUGGGGAAACAGAAACAAACUCAUUGAAGCACAGAUUCACAAUAUAUUGUCUUAUAUGGCAUUCGGUAAGAAUGCAGGGAAAAGGAACGAUCUUAAAUCUUAGAAUCAUUGAAGUUGCAAAAAAUUCCACAUCUUUGUGUCAACAAAUCACAGUUAUUGCGUGACAUGUCAAGAAGAUGUCAAGAGUCAGGUUUCAGCAGCUGAGUAGUUGUGGCUAAAUUAGCAACUUUUUCUUGGAGAGAAGGUUGUACGAUUUGUUACUGAUGAUGGUUACGAAGAUUAGCAAUAUAAUGUGCUUCCUUUUGGUAUUUGUGACCGACACUUUUUUUUUUUUGCGACCAACUGUUAUUGAGAUUUAAUUGUUAUUACUUCCUCAAUUUGGUCUUUAGCUCCAUGUAAUCCAUUGAGUUCACAAUUUUAUGCUUUUGGCUAUGGCCUGUUAGCAAGUCUACCCCUGUUGUUAUCCUUGACAUUAGCUUCUAUUAAAUGUAGAGAAGACUUUUGUUCCUAAAAUUUUCAAUAGCAGUAAUAUUGGUAAAAAUCAAUAUGGCAUAUGUAUAGGAUUCACUUUUAAACUCAGCAUACUAGAUGGUUGGUUAUCAGAGGCCUUGGCAUGAUGCUGGCUUUGCUUUUGAAUCUUAUUUUUGUGCACCUGGAGAGUGAAAUUGGCAAACUUAAUUGCUGCUUGUGUUAUGGGUGAGCUUUAGGUUGGUGGUCCCUGGACUGGAGAAUUUUCCAGCUAAUCUUCAUCACUUGGGGUCUUUGUUUCUUUUUUAAGUUUUCAUAUUGAGAAAAGGAAGGGUUCAUAAAUCUUGGACUUAGUCUUGUCCGAAUUCCACAACAUCAUUGGCUUCAUAAAUAAAUAUCAAGGUGGGUCAGUUAUGCAUCUGUAAU